Molecule: microRNA, 22 nt
Filed under: Scyliorhinus torazame (cloudy catshark)
Lineage: Eukaryota; Metazoa; Chordata; Chondrichthyes; Carcharhiniformes; Scyliorhinidae
Also listed under: 1 other name
Description: Sto-Mir-24-P4_3p (mature (guide))
Source: RNAcentral
UGGCUCAGUUCAGCAGGAACUG